Molecule: long non-coding RNA, 814 nt
Organism: Suricata suricatta (meerkat)
Lineage: Eukaryota; Metazoa; Chordata; Mammalia; Carnivora; Herpestidae
Exons: 4
Source: RefSeq, a predicted model, not a curated record
CCCACCCCUACCCUGCACCCUGCACCGGGAGUGCUGGCCACGCCCCCAACCUGCACCUGGAGUGCUGGCCACGUCCACCCCUCUCCUGAGGAAACGGACAAUGAAUCAGGUCAAGGGAGAUAAAAUCUCACCUGUGACGGUGACGUUCAGGACCGCGCUGCGGGCGAGGCCGUGGCCGUUGUCGGCUGUGCAGAAGUAGGCCCCUGCGUGGCUGCCGCCGACCGCAGGGAUCUCCAGGCGCGCUGUCCGGGAACGCCGACGCUCCCUCCCCAGACUCUGCCCCGUGUCCUCCCGGUGCCAGGAGAACGUGGUAUCCCCUGUGCCUGCGGCCGCCGAGCAAACAAGGACCAGCGGCUUCCCGGCAAGCGCCAGGCCCUCCGGGGGCUGGGUCUCCAGCAGCACUCCGGACACCGGGACCCCUGCGUGGACACGAGGGGCAGGAGGAAGCUGACGCUUAUCUCCUCCACACGUCACCCGAGAUCUGGCUUCUAGAACGUCUCAGCUCACUCCCCCACACUCACCCUGCACGGAGACCUGCAGCGGGAGGCUGUGCUUUUGGAUGUCCUGGGCCGCAGCGACGCCACACCUAUACCAUCCCGAGUCUUGCCUCCGGAUGUCUGUGAUCUGGAGUUCCGGGGACCGGCUCCAGUCUGACAGCAUGCCCCCGUGCUCCCUGAAGAAGAUGAAAUGAAGCACCGUGUCCCGCCGCUCCGGAGCCCGCUGAGUCUCGCAGCUCAGCUGUACUUCACGGUGGUCAGCGUCUCCCUCCUCUUCACCCGGCACCUCAGGACCAACGUGUCACCUUCAAACACGG